RNAcentral lists this ribosomal RNA (698 nucleotides) under uncultured bacterium. Its description in RNAcentral is "bacterial SSU rRNA". It matches the Rfam family "Bacterial small subunit ribosomal RNA", at positions 97 to 813 of the family's 1533-position model. The record is from RNAcentral.
GGCGACGGGUGAGUAACGCGUAAGUAACCUGCCCUUAAGUAGAGAAUAACUCUGAGAAAUUAGAGCUAAUACUGUAUGUGGUGGUGGGGGUAAUACUUCAUCACUAAAGCCUUAGGGCGCUUAGGGAGGGGCUUGCGUCCGAUUAGUUAGUUGGUAGGGUAACGGCUUACCAAGGCGAUGAUCGGUAGCUGGUUUGAGAGGACAUUCAGCCACACUGGGAUUGAGAUACGGCCCAGACUCCUACGGGAGGCAGCAGCAAGGAAUUUUGUGCAAUGGGCGAAAGCCUGACACAGCGACACCGCGUGGGGGAUGAAGGCCCUCGGGUUGUAAACCCCUUUUCUCAGAGAAGAAUAAUGACGGUACCUGAGGAAUAAGUCGUGGCUAACUACGUGCCAGCAGCCGCGGUAAUACGUAGGCGGCGAGCGUUAUCCGGAUUUACUGGGCGUAAAGAGGGCGUAGGCGGUUUUUCAAGUCGAGUGUAAAAUCUCCCGGCUUAACUGGGAGGGACCAUUCGAUACUGUUGAGCUAGAGGGCAGCAGGGGGAGGUGGAAUUCCCGGUGUAGUGGUGAAAUGCGUAGAUAUCGGGAGGAACAUCAGUGGCGAAGGCGGCCUCCUAGGCUGUUUCUGACGCUGAAGCCCGAAAGCGUGGGGAGCGAACAGGAUCAGAUACCCUGGUAGUCCACGCCGUAAACGAUGGA